GAUAAGGUGAAGAAGAUAAAACUUCAAACUCUAAGGGCUGAUUUUGGAAUUUUAAAAAUGAAAGAAUCCGUAUCCAUUUUGGAUUUUUGUUCAAGAGUGAUGGGUGUUGUGAAUCAACUAAGAAGGUACGGAGAGGAAGUAGAUGAUGUGAAUGUGGUAGAAAAGAUCCUUCACUCUUUAACACCCAAAUUUAAUUAUGUGGUGUGUGCUAUGAGGAGUCUAAAGAUUUAGAAUCUAUGACAAUAGAGCAAUUGGAAAGUUCUUUACAAGACCACUAAGACAAAAUGAAAAGAAGAAAAGAAGAGCCAUUGGAGAAACUUCUUAAAACUCAAGCAUCCUUCAAAAGAUUUUGGAGGUGAAAAAAGUUACAGAGAAAAUGGACAAUGACGACGCUGUGGCCACCGUGGAAGAGGGAGGUGUUAUAUCAACAAAUUCAACAAUGAGGAUAAAAACCACUUAACAUUUAGAGUCCGUGGUCGUAGACAACGGGGAGAAAGAGGACGUGGAUCUUAUCAAGGCACCAAUGAAAUAAGGUAUAACAAAUCUGAAAUUGAGUGCUACAAUUGUCAUAAAUUUGGACAUUACUCUUGGGAAUGUCGUAGUAAUAUUGAAGAAAAAGCUAACCUUAUUGAUUGUAGACAUCUAAUUUCGUCCCUCCCCGAAAAUAUUUUUACCAUUUUACCUCCGUCUUACUGCGUGCCCUCACCCAUGUGAUUAUAUCCCACAAAAAUACAAAAAUAACAACUCCUAACUAAUUUUAUCUUAUUCUAACAACCCCUCCCUAUUAAAUAUUAACAUCUCACAUAUCCCACCUCACCACCUACCCCACAUUCCUCCCUUCCAUUUAUAUUUUAAUUAUCAUUUAACAGAGAGGGGAUGAAAAAAAUUCUUUCAUUUUGGGAUAGACACUUUCAAGGGCCCAUAAAAUAAUUAAAAAAUAAAACAAUUCUCACUCACAGGGGGACUGACAAUUCAUAGACCCACCCUCAUUUUCAUACUCACGCGCUACACACAGUACCCACUACAUCAUGAAUCGAUAUUCUCCAUUGAUGAAAAAAGCAUGGAACACGGUCCAUCUUUUUUUUUCUUCUAAACACACCGCCAUUAAUGGGAGGAGAUCAACAUACUCCUCACAUACACAAACAGAAAUACAGAGAGACCCCAACCUUCCUUUUCUUCUCAUAGGAGAUACACAUAGAGCUACUAUAUACACUUGUUGAAUGCACGCACAGCAGGGGAUAUAGAUACUGAGAGAUUCAUGACAGAGAGAGAUUCGAAGUCGAGAUCUGAAAUAGAGAAGAAAACUACGUUGAUUUUGGGUUACUCGAAAAUGGGUUUUAGUGGGUUUGGUCACUGUUCCGGUGACUAUUUUGCCGGAAUCUUAUCGUUCUCUGUUGAUUUCUGGACAAGUCCGAUAGGAAAAUGAGAAUAUCGCCAGAAAAGUCCAUUUUCAAAAGUUUUCGAGCGACCCCAUUUAGAAAAUAUUCAAACUCUCCGGAAUCCGAUCUACUUUCAUUUGUUUUGGGAACUGUUAGCUCACCGGAGUUCAAGUCGUGCAGGUACUUAGUUUUCUAUCAGAUUUUUGCAGCUUGGGUUCAUCUAUUUUGGUGAUUCAAAAUUAAAACUAGAUUUUGAGUUUCAUCAGUUGUCGUUUUGGGUUCGGAUCUUGGUUUUCAUAUCGUGGUAUUUAUUUUUGGGUUUGAAAUCUGUCUGACUAUUGAUCCUGGGUAUUCACUGUCAUUGGUGGAGUUCCAUUCGAUUUGGAUUUGAGUUGGUAGGCCAUGGUUGAAGUUCAAUUCGAGGUUCCCAGCUGGACUCUGUCUCGUUUAAUUGAAUAACACUGCAUUGAAAUCGAUAAUUGAGGGUAAGCAAACAGUAGGCUCAGAUAGGCAAAUUUAGAACUUGUGGAUUGUGGAAUGUUUGGAUUAUGUGUUGAAAGGUUUUGUUUACUGCAUUUGGAUCGACUGUAUUCAUUUAACCGGGGAAUGCCUCAAGGGAUUUGUAUUGAUUUAUCCGGGAAAUUCCCCAAAGUAUCUUGUACUUGGAGGAAGUUCGUGAUGAAGGCCCGAGGCAUCGGAUGAGGCAUUGGAGCUUAGUCUAAGAUUAGUUUAGGAUAUGAUUUACAUUUCUGUAUUUUUCUAUUUCGGGGUUGUAUAACUCGGACUAGACACUAUAUUUUGGAUUGGUUUUGUUUUGUUUGUUUGUUUGAUUGUUUUACAUAUUUUUAUGUGGUUUGUA
Capsicum annuum is the source of this 2238-nucleotide long non-coding RNA. RefSeq lists it as uncharacterized. The transcript has 2 exons. The record is from RefSeq and is a predicted model, not a curated record. Lineage: Eukaryota; Viridiplantae; Streptophyta; Magnoliopsida; Solanales; Solanaceae.